Gorilla gorilla gorilla (western lowland gorilla) is the source of this 1150-nucleotide long non-coding RNA. RefSeq lists it as uncharacterized. The transcript has 2 exons. The record is from RefSeq and is a predicted model, not a curated record. Lineage: Eukaryota; Metazoa; Chordata; Mammalia; Primates; Hominidae.
GAGUCUCGCUCUGUCGCCCAGGCUGGAGUGCAGUGGUGCCAUCUCGGCUGACUGCAAGCUCUGCCUCCCAGGUUCACGCCAUUCUCCUGCCUCAGCCUCCUGAGUAGCUGGGACUACAGGUGCCUGCCACCAUGCCCGGCUAAUUUUUUUGUAUUUUUUUUUUUUGUAGAGAUGGGGUUUCACUGUGUUAGCCAGGAUGGUCUCGAUCUCCUUGCCUUGGCCUCCCAAAGUGCUGGGAUUACAGGCGUGAGCCACUGUGCCUGGCCUUUUUUUUUUUUUUAAGACAGUCUCGCUCUGUCGUGCCCAGGCUGAAGUACAGUGGCGCGAUCUCAGCUUACUGCAACCUCUGCCUUCUGGGUUGAAGCUAUUCCCCUGCCUCAGCCUCCAGAGUAGCUGGGAUUACAGGCACCCACCACCAGGCCUGGCUAAUUUUUUGUAUAUUUUAGUAGAGGUGGGGUUUCACCAUGUUGGUCAGGCUGGUCUCAAACUCCUGACUGCAGGUGAUCCGCCCCCCUCGGCCUCCCAAAGUGCUGGGAUUACAGGCAUGAGCCACCACGCCUGGCCUGUUUAAGACAGGGUCUUGCUGUGUCACCCAGGCUGGAAUGCAGUGGUGUGAUCACGGCUUUCUGCAGCACCUACCCCCCAGGCCCAAGCAAUCCUCCUAGCUCAGCCUCCCAAGUAACUGGGAUUACAGGUGUGCAGCACCACGCCCAGCUAAUUUUUAUUUUUUAUUUUUGUAGGAAGAGGUCUCCCUGUUGUCCAGGCUGGUCAUGAACUCCCGGGGCUCAAGCAGUUCUCCAGUCUCAGCCUCCUGAAGUGCUGGGAUUAUAGGCGUGAGCCACCACGCCAGGCCCCUAACUCUCAUUUUAAAUGGCUGUGUAAUGUGGAUGAUGACAGCACCUACCUCAAGGGGCUGCUGUGAGGACUAAAUGGCCAGAAAGGGAAAACAGAGCCGAGUUUGGCCACUGGGGCCUCCACAGCCCUCUGGAAGAAGGGGCUGACUGAUAGGAAGGCACUCCUCUGGUGUUCACUGGCCAGACCCCUGUGGGCUCAGAAGACUACCUAGACCCCAUGAAGAAAGACUCUAGACACAUUUUUAUAAUCAGAAACUUACAGUUUAUUGUGAAUAAACCACUCAACUUUGAGCAGA